GACGAACGCUGGCGGCGUGCUUAACACAUGCAAGUCGAACGGAAAGGUCCUGCUUUUGUGGGGUUCUCGAGUGGCGAACGGGUGUGUAACACGUGAGUAACCUGCCCUUGACUUUGGGAUAACUUCAGGAAACUGGGGCUCAUAUCGGAUAGGAGCUCCUGCUGCAUGGUGGGGGUCGGAAAGUUUCGGCGGUUGGGGAUGGACUCGCGGCUUAGCAGCUUGUUGGUGGGGUAGUGGCUUACCAAGGCUUUGACGGGUAGCCGGCCUGAGAGGGUGACCGGCCACAUUGGGACUGAGAUACGGCCCAGACUCCUACGGGAGGCAGCAGUGGGGAAUAUUGCACAAUGGGCGGAAGCCUGAUGCAGCAACGCCGCGUGCGGGAUGACGGCCUUCGGGUUGUAAACCGCUUUCGCCUGUGACGAAGCGUGAGUGACGGUAAUGGGUAAAGAAGCACCGGCUAACUACGUG
Molecule: ribosomal RNA, 468 nt
Filed under: uncultured bacterium
Lineage: Bacteria
Description: partial 16S ribosomal RNA
Rfam family: Bacterial small subunit ribosomal RNA
Source: RNAcentral